UACGAUUCGUUAACUUUUUUGUCCCCCAUCCCUCGCCACAACGCGGUUGGGGGUUUGAGUUGGUGGACAUAGAAUUACUGGGCCUACGUACCUCUGUCCAUGUUCCCGUUGGUUGGUCUUGUAAUCACUUUCAAACGUACAAUUCUUGCCAGGUUUUUAUAAAAUGAUAUCAAAGGUUUAUGUUGACAAAGACUUGGACGAGUUCGAAUAUUAGUGCUGAUAAAGUAAAUCAAAUUAAUAUGUUCCUUUGAAAUCAUAUGAAACAUUGCAUUGUAAGGGCUCUCAAAUCUACUUUCUUCAUCAGAUUUUUAUGAAAUUUAUGUUAAAGGUUUAUAUCAGUAAGGUCUUGGACGAAUUCGCUAAUCAGCACCCAUGAACUAUUUUUGCAGGAGUUAUGCCAUUUGUAAAUAUACGGAGUUUGUUCCCAGAGGUAAACAUUGAUGCUAUUUAUGUUUAACCUAUACAGAGAUGAAUCAAUCAAUAUCAUUGGAAACUCCUUGACAGAUUAGUAUGAAAUUCAUGUUUAAAAAAUGGGUUUAUAGAAUAAAUAAAUAUGUAAGUUACCGUUUCAGUCGUUUCUGUUUUCAUUGCUAUAUUAUUAGUGUAUUUUCCAUUCGCCUUUUUUGUAAAUGCAUGCAUGUUUGUCCCAAAAAGCGAAUUGAAACUCGUUCAACCGUAGAAAUGGAUAUGCAUAUUGAUACAAUGUAUUGGGUCCAUUCUAUUCGAUAAUCUUCAAGAGUUAUACUCAAAUAAAACAAAUACAAUAUGUCAGAUAAUUUAAUUGUAAUUGGUCAAUAUAAAUGCCACAUUGGUGUAUUUUUAUGGUUUGUUGUAUGGUCUGAGUAAUAGGGAAUAUAAAGAAGAGAAGACUUAUUCCCUGCGGUGAAUUCAGUACUGUUCAGGACUCGUUUGCAGUCAAUUAAGAUAGUUCAGUCUACCAGAGUAGUUAAGUCUGAAAAUUUAUUAAAUUACUGAACCUGACUGCAUAAUUUAUUGGUCAGACUUUUCAGGAGAUGUUCAGAUCGAAAUAACCGUUUACGACUAGAAUUAAUUUACUAGUGAUACGAUUGUGAAAGGUCAGGUAAAAUAAGGUAACAGUAGUUUAUCGAUGUUCAAAUCUUAUCAAUUGAUUGGGAAGGCAAAUCAACGCAACAAACAAAAACUGAGGGAAUCGCAUGAACUGAAAGAAGCAAAACAAGGUCCUUCGACAGGGUAAGCGUCUCGAACUGUGUUUGCAUCACCCGCCAUACGAAUCAACACUCAGUUAAAAUGUCACAAUCGGGAAUAUGACACACUCGGUAAAAUUACAGAUCAGACUACUUGUAUUCUGGUAUCUAGAGAUAUAAGACUGCGAAAACAGGUUGUAAGUGAGUUCAGAUCAGUAAAGUUUUCUUGUAAGAGGUAAUAAAAUCGAUGUAGACCAGGAUUGAUAGUAUUUAUUACAUUCAUAAGUGGUUUGUAGAUUGAACCGACUUAUCCUUGAUAACUUUUGAAUGGAUUGUACAGAUAUUAUCUGUGUAACGUGCAUGUAUCAGUUGGGGAAUUUGUCUUGCUAAUAUGUAAACAGGAGAUAAAUGAACUACAUUAUAUUAAUAAAACAAAUACAAACAUGUUAUAAUUUAUUCAAUUAAUUGAAAAAAAAGGAAUAACGCAAGGCUCCCGAGAACACUGUUUAACAAGAUGCUAUUGAUAACCACUAACCUGUAUAUUUCUUCUUUUGCAGGAUACAUUUUUUUUCAGUUAUUCAGACAAAAAAAAAUAAAUGGAAAAACUGAUGGAGUAUUCGAAAUUUGUUUUAAUCAUUAUUUGCAUUUCUUUAUUCAUAAUACUGUUCCGUCAUACGAGAUUAAGAACUAUUGAAAAACACGUAGAACCUGUUACUGAUCAAACGACUAGCAAACGCGAUUCAUAUUUUUCUACAUAUUUAGAGGAAAUAAACAAAACAAGGUUAUUAUGUGGCCAGCUGUGUAACACAUCACGAAAAGGAACUCCAGGAAUAUUUUUUGAUAAAAUUACAGCCACUAUAAAUUGUGAAGCUUUAUUUCAAAACGAGUAGUUGAUUCAUCUCAUGGACUUGCUCAUGCUCCAAGAAAAAUACCUUCAAUUUUAUUGAAUGAUUAUACGAUGAAUGGAAAAAUAAAAGUGCACACGGCCUAUUAUAACCAACCCUACCUUGGUAGUACUGCGAGGAUACCUAUUUGGACCAAAUCUUUACUCAAGGAGUAUGUAGUGCUAGCAAAAAAAGGUAAACUGUUUGGUGUUUACGGAAUAUCUGAAACUAACGCACUGAGGGACGGACUACAACAUGCACCAGGAGUGAAAGGAGGGCGUGUCCUAGUCAUAGGAUCUGAAAAACCAUGGGUUGAAGCAUGCUUACUUGAGAUAGGUGCAAAAAAUAUUGUUACACUUGAAUAUGGAAGGAUAAAAUCUGAACAUGAGCAAAUAACAACUAUGGUUCCAUCUGAAUAUAGACGAACAUUUCUAGAUAAUACAUUGGGAUUAUUUGACGCAGUUGUAUCAUUUAGUUCGAUAGAACAUUCUGGACUAGGAAGGUAUGGGGAUGCUCUGAAUCCGUGGGGCGAUUUAAUAGUAGUGGCUAGGGCUUGGUGUGUAACAAAAACAAAUGGAUCUCUGGUACUCGGUGUACUAUACGACAUAAAUAGAGAUUACAUUACAUUCAAUGCACACAGGUGUUAUGGUAAAAAAAGAUACCCAUAUCUGACAACAAAUUGGAUUCAACAUUAUUUGGGGAAAGGACUUCAACGUGUUCAUGUGUUUACAAAAUAGACUUAUUCAUAAUAUUAUCUUACAUUAAUAUGCCUGAUUAUAUUAUGAUAGAAACGGAGGUACACAAAAUUUCAUAUCAAUCAUAACUCCAUAAUAAUGACGCAACAAGACAUCUCAUCGACGUUGCAGUAAUUUAUCAAUAUCGUGUGCAUCUCGUUAGACGUCGUAUAAAUUACCUUUGGGUCCUCAAUGCUGUUAAACUUCGUACUUUAUUUUGACUUUUAACUUUUUUAUUCAAUCGUCGCUGUCUUUUGAAGACAAAACGCACGUCUAGCGUACUAAAUUAUAAGUCUGGUAUCUUUGAUGACUUUUUAAUGAGCAAUUUCAGUUGCAGCUCGUACAAGUUUCAACCACAUUCAGAUUCAAGGUGCGCUCAACACUCAUAUACACUAGCAUAUGAAUGACCGGAUGACCUGACCUUGACCUCACUUUCGUCAUUGAUUGAUUAACAUAUUUGAUAUACCAUCAGAUUCUUAUUUAUUAAAUGUAAUAGUAAAGUUCGUACAUGA
Molecule: long non-coding RNA, 3296 nt
Organism: Mytilus californianus (California mussel)
Lineage: Eukaryota; Metazoa; Mollusca; Bivalvia; Mytilida; Mytilidae
Exons: 2
Source: RefSeq, a predicted model, not a curated record